Molecule: long non-coding RNA, 295 nt
Organism: Eufriesea mexicana
Lineage: Eukaryota; Metazoa; Arthropoda; Insecta; Hymenoptera; Apidae
Exons: 4
Source: RefSeq, a predicted model, not a curated record
AUCCGGUGCCGAAUGUGGCAGCUAAACGGACAAUCGGGAGGAUUGGAGGUAGCCGAGCGGAAUAAUGUGCCGAGGGACCUCGCUGCAGCCCCGUUUCCGCCUUCGCUACACGCUACGCGCAAACUUUCGCGUGCACGUUUCAGCUACCGCUUCGAGUUGGCAAAUUUGAAAAAUGCGCGAGUUUAAUCUCGUAAGCGGUGCCAAAGAAUCUUCUGCCAAAAGAGAUUCUAUGGAUUUAGUGACCCGCGACUCACAAAUUCCUGGUCGAAGCAACCCGUUCUGACACAAAAUCAAC